CAUUGGCUCACACGAUGUUAAAUUAAUUUUUCUAGGGGGAAAGCUCACCACAGUAGCUUGCUCCUGGGGCUUUCGUGAGUCGCCUAAGCGUUGCACUAUAGCUCAGGCCUGGCGCACCCCAC
RNAcentral lists this small nuclear RNA (122 nucleotides) under Gossypium arboreum. RNAcentral describes it as "U2 spliceosomal RNA". It matches the Rfam family "U2 spliceosomal RNA", at positions 74 to 192 of the family's 192-position model. From Rfam's summary of the family: U2 is a small nuclear RNA (snRNA) component of the spliceosome (involved in pre-mRNA splicing). Complementary binding between U2 snRNA (in an area lying towards the 5' end but 3' to hairpin I) and the branchpoint sequence (BPS) of the intron results the bulging out of an unpaired adenosine, on the BPS, which initiates a nucleophilic attack at the intronic 5' splice site, thus starting the first of two transesterification reactions that mediate splicing. Lineage: Eukaryota; Viridiplantae; Streptophyta; Magnoliopsida; Malvales; Malvaceae. The record is from Rfam by way of RNAcentral.